UGUCGCGGUCCCCGGCCGAUGACGCGGCGGCGCGCGGGGAUUCCCCGUGUUGUGGCUGCGGGAUGGGCGGUGGGCGCUGAUGGCGGCUCGCCGGGCAGCGCGGGGCUCCGAGCCGGGGCGCGGCGGCGUGGACGAGUUCACUGUCCCCGCCGAAAAGAGCCGCCUCCUCCAAGGAAACCGCGGCCGCAUCGAGGGCUUGUUCGCCGUGCGGCUCGACCUGCCGGGGCCGCCGGGACCGCCGCCCGCAGCCAGGGUCUGGGUGCAGCUGGAGGGCGGCGGCAGCGCCGUGCGCAGCGCCAAGGAGUUUAUUAAGGGACUCUGUGAACCUGAACUAGAAGAAAAAGAGUACUACCCGAAGGACAUGCACUGCAUCUUUGUUGGUGCACAGAGCCUGUUUCUCAACAGCCUUAUGCAGGAUACCUGUGCUGAUAUAACUGUGCUGGAGAUCGGAUUGCUCAGUAUCAAGGGAUGUGCAGAAGCUGUUGUUAUGGCUCAAAGUCGUGUUCAGCAGUUUGUGAAGCUUUUUGAGAAUAAUGAAAGCUUAUUAGGUGACAAUGAAUCGGAGAUUAAAAAGCAAUUCAGACAAUUUGUGGAAGCGCAUGCAGAUAAAUAUACAAUGGAUUUACUGAUUUUGCCUAGCUCGCUAAAAAGAGAACUCCUGGUUCUCGCACAGACUGAAUGUCAAGUGAAGAGCGAUAUCAUAGAUCUUACAGGUUCUGAAAGCCUGACGGAGCUUUUAGAGAACAAAGCCUCCAAAGUAAUUGCUACAAACAGAGAUGGAAGAGCAGGUGGUAAGGAAGCAAGAAAUAAUGCUGGGACACCUGUAACGGAGCUCACAAAGCAAAUGGACACUGUGUUUUCUGAUGGUCCUGAAACAAGUUUUGUUCCUAUAAAUGUUGUGCCUCUGGAGGCAGUGGUGCCUAAUGAAAGGCAGUCAUAUAAAAGAAGAUCCUCUGAUGAGGAGGAAAGGCUCCAUAAAAAGCAGUUCUCUUUGGAAAAUGAUCAGGAAGUGAAAUCUGCUUCGCACAGUAAUUCUUCAGACAGCAAUGCAGUUAUUGAUCUGCUUUCAUAUAGCUGCAAUGAAUCAAGUGGUUGCCUUAAAGAAGGUGAUGAUAUUAGUGAGGAAAUGGAAUAUAAGAUUCUUGUUAACUUUUUCAGAACAAUGGGAUAUUCCCAAAAUAUUGUAGAGAAAGUUAUUGGUAUCCUAGGACAGUCUGUGGAACCAUUAACGUUAUUAGAAGAAAUAGAAAAGGAAAAUUUAAAACUUCAAAAAGAACGUGAACAGUCAUCUCAAAAGCCUAGAACUAUCAAUCCUCCUCUAGGAGGUAAUGCAAAUAAUUCACAAAAGCUAGAAGACAAAGGUAUUUCUAGCAAAAAAAGUCCACUUAAAUCCAGUCAUACUUCAGAGGAGACAAAAAAUGAAUAUCACAAAAUAAGAGAUUCACCAAGCACACAAGUUGAUGCAGAAGACAAAAUGUAUAUGUUGGUAUGCACACCUGCUUCUUCCAGUGGCAAUUCAGCUAUGUGCUCUAAACAGAGAGACGUUUAUUGCACUGGAAGGAAUCGCAGUUCAAGCUCAAGUGAUGUAGAAACUGAUGGUGGUGUACCUUUUGGCACUAUAGAAGUUGGAGCAUUAAAAGAUGUUGAUUUUGUAGCCAGAGGGAGCUCAGAUGUGCAGUGUACCUCAACUAAGACUAAAUUUGCCGUUCGGCAAAAAUAUGCAGGACCUUCAACUGUAGAGGAUAGUCAUCCUGGUUUUGAGGACCUGUCAGGACACUGUAGCUCUUCUUCUCAAGUGACGUCUCUCAACCAGCACCUUUCGCAGCCUUCUAGGUCUGAAAAUCCUGUCCCAGGCCAGGCAUUAUCUUCACAAAUACAUCCCUCAAAUCCUGAUAAAGAGACAGUGGGACCACAUGGACAUCAUCUGGAUCCUUCAGUUACUGGAGUCCAAAGAUUUUUGGAAUCUCUGAAAAAACCCUACAGACUGGAGUUGAAAAAUGAACCUGGUAAACCAUAUUUAAAACAUAUCAUUAUUGAUGGAAGCAAUGUUGCAAUUUCUCAUGGUCUAAGGAAAUUCUUCUCCUGUCGAGGAAUUGCGUUAGCUGUUGACUACUUUUGGAAACGUGGCCACAGAAAUAUUACUGUAUUCGUUCCACAGUGGAGAACAAGACGUAAUCCUUCCAUUACAGAGCAGGAUUUCUUAACACAGCUCCAGGAUGUUGGAAUAUUGUCUUUAACACCUGCAAGGAUGGUCUUAGGAGAAAGAAUUGCUGCUCAUGAUGACAGGUUUUUAUUACAACUUGCUGAUAAAACUGGAGGUGUUAUUGUGACUAAUGAUAACUUCAGAGAAUUUGUGACAGAAUCGCUAGCCUGGAGAGAAAUUAUUCAAAAAAGGUUGCUCCAGUACACUUUUGCUGGUGAUAUAUUUAUGGUUCCUGAUGAUCCUUUGGGAAGAAAUGGACCUAGAUUAGAUGACUUCCUUCGAAGCGAAGGCCAUUCUAGAGAUUUUUGGUCAGCAAAAAAGGCUUUACAGAGCAGCAGACAACGUUCUUCUGAGACACCUGACCUCAUGCCAGUCCCCAAACCAACCAGUAGCAGUCAACAGCCUAAAAACAGAGUACAUAGCGACCGUUCAUCGACAUGGCUUCCACUGGAAACAAACAUACAGACUCAUCUAGCAAUUCCACCACAGAGAUCUGCCUCAGAAACAGUUCAGCUAAGAGAUGCCCUGAUAAAAAUUUUUCCUGAUUAUGAGCAAAAACAGAAGAUUGAUAAAAUACUAGCUGACAAUCCGUUCAUGAGAGACCUUAAUGCACUGUCUGCCAUGGUGCUUGACUGAAUAUUAUACAGGGGUUUUACAUCACAACUGAUUUGACUAAUUUUGAACAUAAAUGUGAAGAAAUGUUGCUGUGUGGUGUUAAUUUUGUGAACAUUGAGAACUUAAUUUUAUUUGUAUAAAUAAAGAUAAUUUUAUGUAUGUUCUGUUGCUAAUAGUUGCUAGGUUUUGGUUAAUUAAAACCUGCUGCUACUACAGAUUUGUAGUAAUAUUUUCUAUGAAAAAACUCUUCUGCUUCACUUGAAUUGCUUACUAAAGCAGUAGCAGUUCUAAAGAACUGUUAUCAGUUUAAAUAGUGUUAGCACUUUUUUAAAACCCCUUUCCUCAGAAGUGGCUUAAGUGACUCCUACAGCUUCAUUCAUAUUAUCCAGAUGUAUAAAUAACAUACUAUAAUAGAAGUCGUGCAUGUCUCUGAUAUUGUUCGUGUCUGUAUCUAGACUAUAGGUUCUCUUAAAAAACCUGUGCACUACUACUACCUCUUCACUUAAGAACUUUGAAAUAUAUCUCCAUGGAAAUAAAACAGCCCCUUCCAAUAUUUUCUGAUACAAAGACUUCUAUGUAGUGUAAAUCUGAACUUGCUUUCCUUAAGCCUGUAUCAUUUUGGAAACGGGCUAUACUCGUAAGGAUCUGUGGACAUCACUUUUGAACAUCACUGCAUGGGAGCAGUGUAUUGUUGAAGUCCUGUCACAAGGUGGCAAUAUGCAUCUGUUGGUUUGUAAUGAUCAACAGGAAGGCUUCUGACCUUCUGAAGUGCUCGUUUAAAGAAAGAUUAAAUGCAAGAUGUAACAGUAACUGUAAGAGUGUUAUGGAUAAGAUUUUAUAUUGUAUGGAUAACUUGGGGAAUACUAAGCAGCCUUCUCAUAGUAUGGGCAGCUAAGAAGCCUUGUACAUACAGGUAAAAUCAUAGUGCCCAGGGAAUGAAAACCCAUAAAACCUAUUUACCUGUUCAUCCAGGCUGAAAAAUACUAAGUUAUAGUAGAGGGAGGGUUUAAAUCAGGGAGUGUAAAUUCACAAGUCUUCUCAAUAGAAGGUAUUUGUAAUGCUUUAAAAGAUCUGUCACACCUUACUGGUUUCUAAACUGGAAAAUCUUCUGACCAUCAGUACUCCUUCAAAAUAAUUUUAGUAUCUUUAACAGUCUGCACCGUUACCUGUUUGACUUUGUCGUGCCUGUUCUAAAUCUGAAUGUUGUGAUAAGCUGCUAACAAAAUGUGGUGCUGUUUAUCUGGGAAUGGCAUACUGUCUUGUGUGGAGCUAAUAUGCAGCAGUUAACAGUCAGCUUCACCACUUUAAACCUGUUCUGGGAUCAAUCUCAAAUGUAAAGUGGGAAAAAAAGGAAGGUAAUUUGUGAAAGCUGAACAACAGGACCACUUUUAAGAGCAGGGUUAGAGUGAAGGUUACUGUGUGUCUGUGACUGUACACAAAGUCUCUUUAUACCUUCCUCUUAAGCAGUAUCUGAUGCUUAGUGUUCACAUUAGUAAAAAUUAAACUAAAGAAAAUGUGGCUGAAGAGCCCAUGUUAAACUUCGGAUGUACUAAGCCUUACCAUAAAGCAUAAGAGCAUAUUUCUCUCCAGUAGGAGUUUCCUGAAUUCUGAUAUAUCUGCUUAAAUGUAAAAGAGCUGGAAUACACUGAAGAAACGAGGGGGUUGUCUUACAUGGCCGUUUCACACUAAUAGUGAAGUCAGAAACAGAAGGCAAAGUCUUGCUCUUUCCUUAAUGGGAGCAAACUGGAAGAUGAUUGCAGCAAGAGCAAAAGAGAAGUAUUAGGAAUAGCUACUGGAGCAUCUCAAAAAUACAAGUAAGGACAAAGAAAGGUUUUGAAUAUGUUUCUACAUACAAAAAGACAAAUCUUUUUUUUUUUCUGUAUAAAUGAGUGGGCUACUCAUUAAUCAGGUGGGCAGAGUCAGUCUAACCAGCACGUUUGCCAAGAAGCGGUGCUUACCUGCCAGUUGCUAGGUGAGCACAAAAUUCUGUCCUUUAGGCAGGUUCCUAAAGCUGGUUGUCACCGACUGGAGUUGAUUUUAAUGAGUAGUAAAGGAGUGAACUAUGACCAGUGAAGGGCUUUUCCUGAGCAGAGAUAGGAUCCCAAGGAGGAAGUGCUGGUGAAUAAGAUAAUUCUUAGUUCUACACUGGAGUAAGACAUGGGAGCUGUGGGUCAGCAUCUUAAUUCCUAAUAAGCUCUUCUAGAGGCAGUCAGGAGAAUCAAGGCGCCAAGAGCAAUACGAUCUAUUCCAUGUCUUCUUAGUAUAUUGGUAUACUCAAAUCUGAAACCAGCUGUGCAGUACAGUAGUACAGAUAAAAAAAAUAUGGGGUUAGUUUUGUUUGUUGGUCACAAGAAGAUAAAAAUUGGAGCAUGACUCUGCAGGGCAGCAAAAGAUAGAUACCGCGUUGAUUACUAUCUAGUGUGGGAGACAUGGUGAAGUAUGUAAACUCUACUCUCUGGCAGUGGAUUAGGGAACUGUAUUAAUGCUAGUAUGUGCUGGUGUGCUGUUCGCUUCUUGCUAAACAUCCAGUUUGAAAGGAAUUAAAGAGGAAUGUAGCAUCAACUAUUACUUUUUCAUGAUGCAAGAAGCCAAGGUGGGAAUAGUAGCCAUCUAAAACCUGUAAUCUUGCCACCUUUUUGCACAUAAAGGGCAGACUUGACAAAUUCAUUUAUUUUGGUGGCAGAAGCAGGGCAUUAAAGCAAGCUGUCACAGCUAAAAUUCACAUAAAACAAUACAAAGUGAGGCCAAAGGCUUUUUGUUUUCUCUUUUUCUCCUUGUUUGGGUCCUGUUGUCCCUUCAGCUUUGAGUUUUAAACAGUGCAUCUCUGUUAGCAGGGAAGAUGACAAACAAAACCAAUAAGGUCUGAAUUUUCCCUGAGGGAAAGGGGUGGAGGAACACCCCGGGUGGCAUCUCAGCUGCGCUUAAAACAAAACUAUCAGUAUCUUUCGGUUUUGUUUUCACUUGUUCUUAGUUCCCUAUUAGCUUUCUUGCUGUAAGUAUGGCUGUUCAUAAAAUCCAUAAACAGCCUCUUUCAGUGCUCAAUAGAAAUAGCACUGAUGAAACACAGUAGCCUAGAAAGCUUUCUUGGACCCAACAGAACAAGAUUUUUGUUUGUUGGGUUUUUUUUUAUGUCAGAGAAAAUAUGCUUUCUCAUGCAAGAAAGUUGGUCUGUACUUCUCCUUUAUCAACUGUACAAAGUCCUCAGAGUGGAACGAGCAGAGGAAAAGGUCAAGUGUAACUCCUAAUGUGGCCAGAGUGUUCCUGAUCCCCAGAAUAAAAUGAGGUGGUAUGUAUCCCUAACAGAGCUUUCAAUUUAUUGGUAUUUCCCCUGAAACGGAAAGAUAAAGGAAUAUUUCUUUGACCUUGCUCAGGACUCUCCUGUUAUCUAGGAUAAGAUAUUCAUAAUUCCAGGUAUGUACAACUACUUUUACCUGAACAGAACAGUCCUGGGUUUACCUGUGAUAGUAAAAAAAUUGCCAAAGACCCAGCAAUAAGCCACAAAACCCCCAAAAAAUCCUGGCUAUAUGUAUAAUCUGGCUCCCUAGUAAACGAACAAAAUAUCAUAAUCACCUGAGUGCUUUCAAGUAGUUGUCUAUAUGGUAACUAAUGUGUAACUGUGGUCAAGUUCUGCUACGAUCCUUGUGUAAUAAACUGUGUAGUUUAGAUAUCCCAGGUGCUCUGGAUUUGUCAGAUCGGGACCAGCAGGAUCCAGCUCUAAGCAAUGAUCUUAGAGCUCUCUACUUUGUUUCCUGCAUUGCUCCUGAUUCCAGACAGCUCACAGUUCAAUUAUAUCAUUGCAUCCUGUGCUAGCAGAAGGAGCGUACAGUGAGUGACAUGGUUCUGCUGGAAAGUCCUGCACUGAUGGUGAGACUGAACGUGUCAUUCCUGCUGAACCUGAGCUAAUGCCAUGAAGUGUCACUCAUACAGUUUUUUCCCAGUGUGCCCCAAAAUGUAGUAUUUGGCUUUUUUUUCCUACCAGUGCCUUGUGUUUUCCAGGCACCUUUCCCACCAUCUUGGAAGACAGAGUUGACUGAACCUAAGGAAAAAAGCGUAUCAGUUUAAAAAUGUGAGAUAUACUGUUGUAUUGCUUGUAAAAUAUUAUUUCCUAAUGCUAUAUCGUAUGAAGAAAGAAAAAUGUGAGAAAUUGUCAAAAUGAUGUGAUACGGGGGAAAGCUGUUCUUCACUGUAAAAAGUUAACAUGAAAACCUUAAUAUGAGUAAGUAAAAAUCUCUAGGAAGAGGCUGUUAGAGAAUUGAACAGGUAUUUUUCUACAGUCACACAGGAGCACUACAUAGGUCUGUUCACAAGUUUGCUGAGGACAAGAGAGUGCUUAUGGUAAUGCACUGAGUAUGUGGAAAGUGCCCAUGUGUUCUUUUUGCCUGUGAAAAAAUACUGAUUAAUGAUAAGCUAACAAUGUAAUUCCGAAUCACCUUUUGUUUAACACAGAGAAUGAGCAUGCAGAGGGUCAAUUUGUAGCGCAUCUUUUACUACAUAACUCUCAUUCUUUUUAUAGACAGAUAACGAGACAAAGCUUAGAUUUGAACGGGUGGGAAAUGUGGAAGAAAAGGGCUUUAACCUGAGAAACUACAUAAUUGUCAAGGAGAGUAUCUUUUUUCUUAUCAACUAAAAUGUUCCACAGGGUGGCCGGCAUAAUCAUUCGCAUUUUUAGAGACACAGGGAAGAAUCACCCUGUGUAACUCUGCUCAGUAUGACAGAUGGAAAUGGUGACCAAGCUCCCAAGCCUCACUGCGGCAAUGAGCUCCUUGGUAGAUCCCUCCUCAUCCCACCACGGUGUCUAUCCUGCCUAAACAGAUGCACAGGGCUGAUGUGAAGAUUUUCCUCAGCUGGCUCCAUCAUCAUCCAGCUCUGCUGCUGUGGAAAAUGAUGCCUCGGAAGGUGUACGUCUUGUUUCAGCUCAGUUUUACAGGGAAACGGCCUUUUCUCUUGGCACUCGGUCAGACGGUAGCUAGAGGCUCCUUUAAGCUCCCUGGAGCCUUCGUGUGUGUAUGAACACGCUGCUUGAAGAACUUGUCUUCUUUCACGUAUGUGUCUCCUAGUCGUGCACGUUUGCUUCUUAGAUGCUGGUGUGACAAUCCACUUAUGUUAUAACGAGUGUUUCUUUCCCUAAGGUCUCCUCCUAAAGUCUGCUUUGUGCCGUUUAGUAUCUGGUGGGUGAAAAAAACACAGCUAGAAGCAACGUUCUGAGUGGAAAAUAACGGGGACCGUCCCUUAGGAGUGAGUGAGGUGACAUUCUCCUCUCCCUCCCUUUAACAUUUUAUAGAAAGUCUGUCUCCAGGAUAAAGCCCUGAGACUUUGACUCCGAUUCCUGGUGUGAAGACGAGUACAAGAUUUCUGAGAUAAAUUCAACACCAUGAAAGGAUUUUUUUUUCUCUAAGUUUUUAAGACUGUAAACUCCAGGGCCUUCCAGCAGUGAAACUCAGGAUGUUCAAAGAAUCUAUAGCUCCCCUGACUGCUCAGUGUUGUACAGACACAUUGGUGUGUAAUUCUAUGCGUACAGUGGAAAUCCUGCAGUGCUCAAAUGAAAGGGACAAACACCUGAUAAAAUAAAAAACAGAUGGAUUUUAGAUAUGUACUUUUUUUACCUGUGUAUAUGUAUGCACUUCUGUUUAGAAUGUCAUUCCAUUGUACUGUUGAAACUGCAGCUGUGCGUGACAAACUAAUUUUUGCUGUCUGCCUCAUGGCUAGUUAGAUUCUGUAAGAUUGCAUUAUAUCAUUCUAAAUGGCUAAUUCAAAGGAAGCAUUUUUUAAGAGGAAACUGGUUUUGAAUACAUUGGUUCCUCUUUUCAGUCUUCACUUGUGUACCUUUUUAACUCUUUCAGGGAUUAUACUUUCAAUGUAAAUAAAAAACCUAAAAUAUUACAUAUUUUUAAUAAAAAAAAUUAGAAACUGUGGUCCAAAGACAUCAGAGUUCUGCUGAAAUAUACCAAAUUAAGUUUUC
RNA transcript from Cuculus canorus (common cuckoo), 8777 nucleotides. It is a transcript of the gene named NEDD4 binding protein 1, with no coding region annotated. NCBI's taxonomy places the organism in Eukaryota, Metazoa, Chordata, Aves, Cuculiformes, Cuculidae. The transcript has 9 exons. The record is from RefSeq and is a predicted model, not a curated record.